This 221-nucleotide long non-coding RNA is filed under the name Mytilus galloprovincialis (Mediterranean mussel). The record is from RNAcentral. Lineage: Eukaryota; Metazoa; Mollusca; Bivalvia; Mytilida; Mytilidae.
UGGUCGGCAUGCAUUUUAGAUUCAAUCAAUGUUUAGAGGUGCUGAGGAGGGGAAAGUGAAACUGCGAUAUUACUUUAUGAACUUUAAAAAAACAUUGCACUAUAUUAAACAAAGAAAAAUAAUGAUAGUCAUUAUGUUGAGCUAACUCCUUUGUCUAUGGUUGUGGGUACAACAGAUAGAUUGUCACAUAGUGAACUUCUUCCUACAAUUGUGGAUUUUAG